GAAAGAUAGUUUUACAGUGAACAUCAAUCUGAUCACCAGGGUUGAUGGGGCUGAUCUGGCUGGCUAGACGGGCGUCCCCUUCCUCUCUUAUGGCUCCAUUUACAUCCUACCCAGAAGCUGCACGCUGGGUUGAAGAGGAUGACCACCAAAGCAGAGGAGGACUAGUUCUUCCAUGAAUAGUAUACAACGAUCAUCUGUUAAUAAAAAAUUAUAAGUUUAUAUGAAAAUUUGAAAAUGUCAAAUGUCUAAACACAAAUUAGAUCAUGUUAUAAUGUUGUUUCUAGUUGAAAAUUGCAUUUGUUU
Molecule: non-coding RNA, 303 nt
Organism: Cavia porcellus (domestic guinea pig)
Lineage: Eukaryota; Metazoa; Chordata; Mammalia; Rodentia; Caviidae
Rfam family: 7SK RNA
About the family: 7SK was discovered as an abundant small nuclear RNA in the mid-70s but a possible function has only recently been suggested. Two independent studies have found that 7SK RNA binds the CDK9/cyclin T complex (known as elongation factor P-TEFb).
Source: Rfam